This 381-nucleotide ribosomal RNA is filed under the name uncultured Entomoplasmatales bacterium. RNAcentral's name for it is "bacterial SSU rRNA". It matches the Rfam family "Bacterial small subunit ribosomal RNA", at positions 28 to 411 of the family's 1533-position model. Lineage: Bacteria; Bacillati; Mycoplasmatota; Mollicutes; Entomoplasmatales. The record is from RNAcentral.
GAUUAACGCUGGCGGCAUGCCUAAUACAUGCAAGUCGAACGAAGUAGUUUACUACUUAGUGGCGAACGGGUGAGUAACACGUAUCUAAUCUACCAUUUAGUGGGGAAUAACUGUUGGAAACGACAGCUAAUACCGCAUACUGUUUCUAAGAUGAUUUCUUAGAAAUGAAAGAAGCUUUCAAGCUUUGCUAAUUGAUGAGGAUGCGGCGCAUUAGCUAGUUGGUAGGGUAAUGGCCUACCAAGGCAAUGAUGCGUAGCCGAUCUGAGAGGAUGAACGGCCACAUUGGGACUGAGACACGGCCCAAACUUCUACGGAAGGCAGCAGUAGGGAAUAUUGGACAAUGGGGGCAACCCUGAUCCAGCCAUGCCGCGUGUGUGAAGA